RNAcentral lists this ribosomal RNA (847 nucleotides) under Enterococcus faecium. RNAcentral's name for it is "bacterial SSU rRNA". It matches the Rfam family "Bacterial small subunit ribosomal RNA", at positions 78 to 908 of the family's 1533-position model. The record is from RNAcentral. Lineage: Bacteria; Bacillati; Bacillota; Bacilli; Lactobacillales; Enterococcaceae.
CCACCGGAAAAAGAGGAGUGGCGAACGGGUGAGUAACACGUGGGUAACCUGCCCAUCAGAAGGGGAUAACACUUGGAAACAGGUGCUAAUACCGUAUAACAAUCAAAACCGCAUGGUUUUGAUUUGAAAGGCGCUUUCGGGUGUCGCUGAUGGAUGGACCCGCGGUGCAUUAGCUAGUUGGUGAGGUAACGGCUCACCAAGGCCACGAUGCAUAGCCGACCUGAGAGGGUGAUCGGCCACAUUGGGACUGAGACACGGCCCAAACUCCUACGGGAGGCAGCAGUAGGGAAUCUUCGGCAAUGGACGAAAGUCUGACCGAGCAACGCCGCGUGAGUGAAGAAGGUUUUCGGAUCGUAAAACUCUGUUGUUAGAGAAGAACAAGGAUGAGAGUAACUGUUCAUCCCUUGACGGUAUCUAACCAGAAAGCCACGGCUAACUACGUGCCAGCAGCCGCGGUAAUACGUAGGUGGCAAGCGUUGUCCGGAUUUAUUGGGCGUAAAGCGAGCGCAGGCGGUUUCUUAAGUCUGAUGUGAAAGCCCCCGGCUCAACCGGGGAGGGUCAUUGGAAACUGGGAGACUUGAGUGCAGAAGAGGAGAGUGGAAUUCCAUGUGUAGCGGUGAAAUGCGUAGAUAUAUGGAGGAACACCAGUGGCGAAGGCGGCUCUCUGGUCUGUAACUGACGCUGAGGCUCGAAAGCGUGGGGAGCAAACAGGAUUAGAUACCCUGGUAGUCCACGCCGUAAACGAUGAGUGCUAAGUGUUUGAAGGGUUUCCGCCCUUCAGUGCUGCAGCUAACGCAUUAAGCACUCCGCCCGGGGGAGUACGACCGCAAGGUUGAAACUCAAAGGA